CCUGGUCUUACAUACAAUGGCUAAGAGCAAAGAACUUGUGCCAACCAACUCUGUAUGGAGUCCAGGAUUCACAGAGGAGCUUCUCCCAGCUUCUAAGCAGAUAUCCCUGCUGUACCACAUCUCCUACCUGUGUCUGGCUAAGUUUCCAAACUUGGAGAGGCUCCUCAGGAAGUGUGCUGGGGAAACCCAACUUCUCUUUGGAUCCUCUGAAGCUCUUCUGCUGAAGUGUAUGGGCACCAGUCAGACCCAGGUUUCAUCACUGUUUCCAAUGCUGAUACAUGCUAUUGAAAAAAACAAACCAACACUGGCGGUAAGGUACCUGGAAAAAGCAAGAACCUGGAUUGAUGAACUUAUUGCAGAUGUGGACAAGAUGGUGCAAAGCUAUGUUCAACACAACGAAGAUGUGGCCACAACUACCAGUGACAUCAUCACUGAAAAGGCAAACACUGAGGCCAAGUCUGAGCAGCUUUCCAAGGAAGUUCAGGAAAUGGAGGGAGCUAUAAAGACCCUUGAAGAAAAGCUUGCCGGAGUUAGGAACGAGCUUGAAGACACCAAAAGGAAGAUAGAUGCCAAAAACCUGGAACUUGAGAGUUAUGUAAGGGACGUGACAAGCAAAAGCUCAGGCCUCGGAAUCUUCGCUGCGAUUGUGCCAUUCAUUGGGCCAAUCGUCAAGUCCAUUUACGAUGCCGCAACAUCCCCCGCUGCUGCUGCAAAAAUCAAAGCUCUUGAAAACCAGCUGAAUCAGCUCACCUCUCAAAAGGCGGCUCUGAUGAACCAACAGUGGAGCAUUGAGGUCCAGCAGAUUGACUUACAGAUGAAACUGGCCAAAGUAAAAAUUGACAAGGGCUCUAUACCCAGCCCUGUCCACCUGAACGAGGUCCAGCGAUAUCUGACUAAAAUCCAGAACAUUCUGAUUCAGAUCAAAAACUUCUGGCAAAAGGUGCACAGUAUGUUGGGUGUCAUGCAGAAAAAGACAUUUGUUAAUGAAGAUCUUGUUGAUGAACCUGAACUUAAAGAAGAAUUUGUGAAUUCAAUCCAAAAGGCUUCAGAGAUUUGGUCAAAUUUUGGUGGUUCCUGUGGUAAAGCUGCUGAAAUAUUCAAAAUACAGUCCAAGGAUGCCUAUGCGUUCCUGGAGAUUGAUCCAUCGUCUCUCUCAGACGCCGUGUGGCAGGAAGAGUAUAACAGUGUUAUGGGACAGCUACAGGAAAUGAAAGUCUUGAACCAGACUCCAGCAGCCAUCCAAAACUAAAGCACUAAAUACUACUGUGCAUUUCUCCUCUGAGGCUGUCAAAUCAAAUACUCUGUUAAUUGGUGGUCAUAUAUUGGUAAUUUUUAUAGAUAAUAUUGAUUUUCUGUAUUUAGGUACAAUCAGUCAUUCCUUUUUUAAUCAGAACUAUAUGACCUUGUAGUCAGUCAUACACAAUUUACAAUGUAUGUGUACCUGAUUAAAAUAGCGUAGCUUUCUCAUUUAAGCCUCAAAUCAUUCAAGGCUGAAAAAAAAAAUCUUUCUCCUCUUUUAAUUUCCCAUAAUGAACUUUACUGCCAUGUGAAACUGGCCAUUACAGCAGCUCAAUGAAUCUGUUUUUCAGAGCCACCUACUUCCAAAUCCAGUAGAUCAUGUGUGAGGAGAUCCAGGAGCAUAUAGACGCAACAGCUCCAAGUGCUCCAACUAAUGUAGUAGUGUUGUAAACAGACCUGGUGUUGCUAUGACAACUGUAGUAUGACAGGUCACAUGAAGCCACAUAACAUGAAAAUAACACAAAAUACCCAUAUCAGUGAAAGAUUACCUUGAGUCUUUAAGAACAGAAGUUGCCUUUUUGGGAGAGUUCCACCAUUAAACAGUAUUU
Electrophorus electricus (electric eel) is the source of this 1847-nucleotide long non-coding RNA. NCBI's taxonomy places the organism in Eukaryota, Metazoa, Chordata, Actinopteri, Gymnotiformes, Gymnotidae. The record is from Ensembl.